RNAcentral lists this ribosomal RNA (443 nucleotides) under uncultured bacterium. RNAcentral describes it as "partial 16S ribosomal RNA". It matches the Rfam family "Bacterial small subunit ribosomal RNA", at positions 338 to 795 of the family's 1533-position model. The record is from RNAcentral.
CCUACGGGUGGCAGCAGUGGGGAAUAUUGGGCAAUGGGCGCAAGCCUGACCCAGCAACGCCGCGUGAAGGAAGAAGGCUUUCGGGUUGUAAACUUCUUUUCUCAGGGACGAAGAAAGUGACGGUACCUGAGGUAUAAGCCACGGCUAACUACGUGCCAGCAGCCGCGGUAAUCCGUAGGUGGCAAGCGUUAUCCGGAUUUAUUGGGUGUAAUGGGCGUGUAGGCGGGAGCGCAAGUCAGAUGUGAAAACUCAGGGCUCAACCCUGAGCCUGCAUUUGAAACUGUGUUUCUUGAGUGCUGGUGAGGCAAUCGGAAUUCCGUGUGUAGCGGUGAAAUGCGUAGAUAUACGGAGGAACACCAGUGGCGAAGGCGGAUUGCUGGACAGUAACUGACGCUGAGGCGCGAAAGCGUGGGGAGCAAACAGGAUUAGAUACCCCAGUAGUC